RNAcentral lists this ribosomal RNA (253 nucleotides) under uncultured bacterium. RNAcentral's name for it is "partial 16S ribosomal RNA". It matches the Rfam family "Bacterial small subunit ribosomal RNA", at positions 524 to 776 of the family's 1533-position model. The record is from RNAcentral.
UACAGAGGUCUCAAGCGUUGUUCGGAUUCAUUGGGCGUAAAGGGUGCGUAGGCGGCGCGGUAAGUCGGGUGUGAAAUCUCGGAGCUUAACUCCGAAACUGCAUUCGAUACUGCCGUGCUUGAGGACUGGAGAGGAGACUGGAAUUUACGGUGUAGCGGUGAAAUGCGUAGAUAUCGUAAGGAAGACCAGUGGCGAAGGCGACUUACUGGACCACCACUGACGCUGAUGCGCGAAAGCCAGGGGAGCAAACGGG